Molecule: ribosomal RNA, 380 nt
Filed under: uncultured cyanobacterium
Lineage: Bacteria; Bacillati; Cyanobacteriota
Description: bacterial SSU rRNA
Rfam family: Bacterial small subunit ribosomal RNA
Source: RNAcentral
CGAAAGCCUGACGGAGCAAUACCGCGUGAGGGAAGACUGCCUAUGGGUUGUAAACCUCUUUUUUCAGGGAGGAAUCAAUGACGUGUGCCUGAAGAAUAAGCAUCGGCUGACUCCGUGCCAGCAGCCGCGGUAAGACGGAGGAUGCAAGUGUUAUCCGGAAUCACUGGGCGUAAAGCGUCUGUAGGUUGUUUAAUAAGUCAACUGUUAAAUCUUAAAGCUUAACUUUGAAAUCGCAGUCGAAACUAUUAGACUAGAGUAUAGUAGGGGUAAAGGGAAUUUCCAGUGGAGCGGUGAAAUGCGUAGAUAUUGGAAAGAACACCGAUGGCGAAAGCACUUUACUGGGCUAUUACUAACACUCAGAGACGAAAGCUAGGGGAGCA